Molecule: long non-coding RNA, 729 nt
Filed under: Nicotiana benthamiana
Lineage: Eukaryota; Viridiplantae; Streptophyta; Magnoliopsida; Solanales; Solanaceae
Description: long non-coding RNA (NBEN_LNC004621)
Source: RNAcentral
CCUCUCUCAGGUAAACACCAUCGGCACCACCGACGAGCCGCCGGCAGCACAGGUAAGUACCCCCAUCUCUCUCUCUCUCUUCUCUUCUCGGAACAUUGUUCCGACGAGUUUCUGUCUCUUCCGGUGGUCUCUCUUCGACACCUCCGACACCAUCGAGACACACAACGUCAGGCGCACCCUGCCUGCGAAUUUCGUCGCCGGAAGCUGCCCCACGCGCCGCCAGUGAACCCACGCGCCACGCGCGUGAACAGUGUUCCGGCCACUUUUUCAACCGGCUUCUUUUGGACAGUUUUUUCCCCUUAUAAUUCCGACCAACUUGGUACUUUCGGAAUAUUUCCCUGCUCACUUUCAUUUUACACCCUUGCCUCUCAUCACUUCAAUUGCGCCCCCGAGGAGACAUAUGGUCGCUUCUCUUUGUUAGCUUAACUGCAGCUUUGGACGUCAACUUCAUUUCACCUGCAGCACUCAGUUGCUAUUGUUUAAGUAAAUUACACUCUUUAAGUUCUUCUUUUUCUGUCCUCUUUCUUGUUAUUGUUGUUGUUUGUGCAAUUUGUUACUCUUUGAUGAAAUCUUGCUUUCGUAUCCAAACCCAUCUGUAAAUUUUCCGUCUUUAUACUGAUAAAAAAUCUGGAGCAUAUCGAUUCGCGUUGUAGCUUCUGUUUUAUUAGGGUUUAAGAGUUUGUCCUUUUCCAAAAAUUCUUUUUUAAAUACUUAAUUUCUCUUCAGCGG